GCCCAGGACCCGGCAGCUGCCGCAGUGAGCAUUUCCAUUGGCUUAGGCGCUCCCCACCAGAACUCGAGUGAUUGGUUCUGGAAUAGGAGUGAGAGAAGCAGUGUCCAGUGACAAUGAUGCCUCCUACUUUGAAGGCGGGGCGUGAGGGGUGGCAGCGUGAGGUGGGGGCUGUGCGCGCAGGGAGGAGCGUAAAAGUUGACAGCCUUGAGCAUGUGACACCUUCUGCCAUGAGAUGAUGCCACAAUAAGAACCUCACCAACUGCUGGCACCUUGAUACUGGACUUCACAGCCUCCAGAAUUGUGAGCCAAUGUCUUUCAAGCAUUGAUAAUUACAGCUUUCAGACCCAAAGCCUACAAAUUCAUAAUCCACACAGAUGACAUACUAAAAUCUACUCAAACUUCUAAGUGUGAAGACAAUUUCAGGACUUACAUUAAGAGAAAACUGCUUAAAAAGAGAUAAUCCAUUUUAAAGCAAGAAAACAAGAUAAUUCAAGGGAAAAAUGUAUGACUCUAAAUUUGGAAACCAAACAGGAUCUGCCAAUACGGGGCAGAAUGUUAAAAAGAGGAUGAAUUUUGAUUUCAGAAAAUUUAGAAGAGAAUGGAUUUCUCAGGCAACUGAAAGAACAUAUUUGGAUCUGUUAAGACUAAAGGAGACUUCAAGAGAACUGGACUUUGUGUCGGACAGACUGUCUGUGACAGGGAAAAAACCCCUUCUGAAUGAUUAGGAACGAACCAGUUAACUGGCUUGAGUUUCACAUUCUUCAUCUGUAAAAUCUGGUGAUUAGACUGGCCCAGCAAAAGAUACAAUACACAUAAAUUGGAAUGAAUCUGCAUUUUCCAAGCCUGAUGAAUUUAUUAAAACUGAAUUAAGUCACUAACUGGCAGCCUGAAGAUGAAAGGAAAGAACUCAGUCAUGCUUCUUAAGGUAAAAGGGCAGUCUAACUGAGAAUUUUGUUAUCUCUGAGGACAAAUUACAACGAGAUAAAGACACUCAAGAUCACAUGGAAGGCUUCUGCUCCCACUGAGAGACUGCAAUGUAAGGUAUGGAAACAGAAUAUUCUCUAUAGAAACAUACAUGUUAAAAUAUGAACACUUUUGUUCUUAUUUCAAUCCAAAAAUAAAUAAAUGAAUUAAAUGUCGAAGAUA
Molecule: long non-coding RNA, 1146 nt
Organism: Nomascus leucogenys (northern white-cheeked gibbon)
Lineage: Eukaryota; Metazoa; Chordata; Mammalia; Primates; Hylobatidae
Exons: 5
Source: RefSeq, a predicted model, not a curated record